CCUACCAUGUCCUUUUCCCAUUUAAAUAUUGAUGGUAUCACACUGGCAACCUCCUAAUGUAACUGUGGCUGGCACUCUGCAGAGGCAAGAGGAGCUGCAGGUUCUGUAGCAGGAAAACAUGCUUCCAAAUCCCCAGAGCCAAGAGUGUAGGAGCAACACCAUUUUCCCCUGCUUCAUCUUUGUAGAGGGGAGAAUACCUUUCCUGUCUGCUCCAGUUUCCAGGGACUGCUCAUUGUUUGCCAGGUACCUCCUCCUCCCUCUGCAAAGUCCUCAGUGAUGGGUCCAGCUCUCACCCAGCAUCAUCACUCUGAUCUCCU
Urocitellus parryii (Arctic ground squirrel) is the source of this 317-nucleotide non-coding RNA. NCBI's taxonomy places the organism in Eukaryota, Metazoa, Chordata, Mammalia, Rodentia, Sciuridae. The record is from RefSeq and is a predicted model, not a curated record.